GUUUUCGGCCCGGUUUAAAGAAACCAGGGAGCACCAACUGCUACUUGCAAGGGGAGCCUGGGAAUUCUAAUCAAGUCAAUUUCUAAUUAGUCAGUUUUUGUAAAGAAAUUGUGCGACAAAAGAAAACCAACAAUUUGUGAUUUUUUUGGAAGGGUGGGAAAAGAAUAACAACAGUCUGGCUUCUGUGUCAUGUGUGAGGACUGAG
This 205-nucleotide unclassified non-coding RNA is filed under the name Hevea brasiliensis (rubber tree). The record is from RNAcentral. Lineage: Eukaryota; Viridiplantae; Streptophyta; Magnoliopsida; Malpighiales; Euphorbiaceae.